RNAcentral lists this long non-coding RNA (249 nucleotides) under Phoenix dactylifera (date palm). RNAcentral's name for it is "long non-coding RNA (PDAC_LNC012821)". Lineage: Eukaryota; Viridiplantae; Streptophyta; Magnoliopsida; Arecales; Arecaceae. The record is from RNAcentral.
CCGUCCGCACGGCCCGUCACUGUUCGCGACCAGAGCAAGGAGGGGAGGAGCCGUCGCACGCCACUGCAGCUCUGCCGGCGCUGUCCACGGCUAGAUAGAGGAUCUCUGCCAAGCCACCACCCUCGCUCGCGCCGCCACCACCGUGCGUCACCGUCCAUCGGUCGUGGCCUGAUCUCGGUCCCGCGACGAUCUUCUCUCCCUCUAAGAAGAUUCCUAUGGGCUCGUUUGGUUCAUAUGGAAAGCUUUUUU